Molecule: ribosomal RNA, 506 nt
Filed under: uncultured bacterium
Lineage: Bacteria
Description: bacterial SSU rRNA
Rfam family: Bacterial small subunit ribosomal RNA
Source: RNAcentral
CAGGCCUAACACAUGCAAGUCGAGCGAGAAAGCCCGCUUCGGUGGGUGAGUAAAGCGGCGAACGGGUGAGUAACACGUGAGUCACCUACCCUUCAGCGGGGGAUAACAUCUCGAAAGGGGUGCUAAUACCGCGUACGGUCCCGGUUGUUCCUGCUUCCGGGUCGAAAGGUGGCCUCUCUAUAGAAGCUACCGCUGAAGGAUGGGCUCGCGCACCAUUAGCUUGUUGGUAGGGUAACGGCCUACCAAGGCGACGAUGGUUAGCUGGUCUGAGAGGACGAUCAGCCACACUGGAACUGAGACACGGUCCAGACUCCUACGGGAGGCAGCAGUGGGGAAUAUUGCACAAUGGGGGAAACCCUGAUGCAGCAACGCCGCGUGCGGGAUGAAGGCCUUCGGGUUGUAAACCGCUGUCAGGAGGGAAGAAAUCGCCUCGGUGAACAAUCGGGGUGGAUGACGGUACCUUCAGAGGAAGCCCCGGCUAACUCCGUGCCAGCAGCCGCGGUAAU